RNAcentral lists this ribosomal RNA (279 nucleotides) under uncultured bacterium. RNAcentral describes it as "partial 16S ribosomal RNA". It matches the Rfam family "Bacterial small subunit ribosomal RNA", at positions 506 to 784 of the family's 1533-position model. The record is from RNAcentral.
UGCCAGCAGCCGCGGUAACACGGGGGGGGCAAGCGUUGUCCGGAAUUAUUGGGCGUAAAGGGCGCGUAGGCGGGCUGAUCAGUCUGUGGUGAAAGUUUGCGGCUUAACCGUAAAAUUGCCUUGGAUACUGUCAGUCUUGAGUUCGGAAGAGGAAAGUGGAAUUCCUGGUGUAGCGGUGAAAUGCGUAGAUAUCAGGAAGAACACCGGUGGCGAAGGCGGCUUUCUGGUCCGAAACUGACGCUGAGGCGCGAAAGUGUGGGGAGCGAACAGGAUUAGAUA